AGAGUUUGAUCCUGGCUCAGAUGGAAGGCUAGCUACAGGCUUAACACAUGCAAGUCGAGGGGCAGCAUGGCGGAAGCUUGCUUCUGCUGAUGGCGACCGGCGCACGGGUGAGUAACGCGUAUCCAACCUUCCCCCUAGCAGGGCAUAGCCCGUAGAAAUGCGGAUUAACACCCUAUGUUGUGUUUUGAGGACAUCUGACGAACACUAAAGGUUUCACGCUAGGGGAUGGGGAUGCGUCCGAUUAGCUUGACGGCGGGGUAACGGCCCACCGUGGCCACGAUCGGUAGGGGUUCUGAGAGGAAGGUCCCCCACACUGGAACUGAGACACGGUCCAGACUCCUACGGGAGGCAGCAGUGAGGAAUAUUGGUCAAUGGGCGGGAGCCUGAACCAGCCAAGUAGCGUGGAGGAUGACGGCCCUACGGGUUGUAAACUCCUUUUAUGCGGGGAUAAAGUGCAACACGUGUGCUGUUUUGCAGGUACCGCAUGAAUAAGGACCGGCUAAUUCCGUGCCAGCAGCCGCGGUAAUACGGAAGGUCCGGGCGUUAUCCGGAUUUAUUGGGUUUAAAGGGAGCGCAGACGGCCUGUUAAGCGUGCAGUGAAAUGCGGGUGCUCAACAUCUGCACUGCUGCGUGAACUGGCGGGCUUGAGUUGUCUGGAGGUGCGCGGAAUUCGUGGUGUAGCGGUGAAAUGCUUAGAUAUCACGAAGAACCCCGAUUGCGAAGGCAGCGCACCGUGGACAUUACUGACGUUGAGGCUCGAAGGUGCGGGUAUCGAACAGGAUUAGAUACCCUGGUAGUCCGCACGGUAAACGAUGGAUGCCCGCUGUAUGCGAUACAUUGUAUGCGGCCAAGCGAAAGCGUUAAGCAUCCCACCUGGGGAGUACGCCGGCAACGGUGAAACUCAAAGGAAUUGACGGGGGCCCGCACAAGCGGAGGAACAUGUGGUUUAAUUCGAUGAUACGCGAGGAACCUUACCCGGGCUUGAACUGCACAGGAAGGCGGCAGAGAUGCCAACGCCCUUCGGGGCCUGUGUGGAGGUGCUGCAUGGUUGUCGUCAGCUCGUGCCCUGAGGUGUCGGCUUAAGUGCCAUAACGAGCGCAAAAAAAUAUCUUUAAUUGCUAACAUUAAGUUGAGAACCUUAAAGAGACUGCCGGUGAUAAACCGGAGGAAGGUGGGGAUGACGUCAAAUCAUCAUGCCCCUUACGUCCAGGGCUACAGGCGUGCUAUAAUGGCUGGUAUAAAAAGAAGCGAAAUGGUGACAUGGAGCAAACCUCAAAAGCCAGUCUCAGUCCGGAUUGAAGUCUGCAACUCGACUUCAUGAAGUUAGAAUCGCUAGUAAUCCCGAAUCAGAAUGUCGGGGUGAAUACGUUCCCGGGUGUUGUACACACCGCCCGUCACGCCAUGGGAGUUGGUAAUACCCGAAGCUGGUAGCCUAACCUGUUUACAGGAGGGGGCCAUCGAAGGUAGGAUCAGCGACUGGGGUGAAGUCGUAACAAGGUAACC
This 1503-nucleotide ribosomal RNA is filed under the name uncultured rumen bacterium. Its description in RNAcentral is "bacterial SSU rRNA". It matches the Rfam family "Bacterial small subunit ribosomal RNA". The record is from RNAcentral.